This 897-nucleotide long non-coding RNA is filed under the name Homo sapiens (human). Its description in RNAcentral is "HSALNT0302024". Lineage: Eukaryota; Metazoa; Chordata; Mammalia; Primates; Hominidae. The record is from RNAcentral.
AACUUGCCUUUGUUUUUUUCUUAAACUGUGAAUGCACAGCGUUCUAGAACACAACUACUAACUAGCUCGGCCUGGUACCACGGAUUUGUGCUACGGCACCAGGAGAGCAAAAUCAACACAGAAAAAAGCAAGAAAACUCAGAGAAAAAAUAAAACAAAUCUACAAUGAACACAUCAGUAUGUAUAUUUCUACAAACUUGUGUGAGAAGUUCUGUAAGAUCAAGUCCUAAAAGCAGAAUUGCUGGCUCAAAGGUAUUUCUCUCGGAAGUAUUAAGAUUUCAAAAACUGGGCAGAAUGAAUCACAGACAAAUGCUUUCAGAAACUUAGAUGGGGACAUAUAUAAUGUAAGAUGGACUUAACUUACAUGUAGAAUAAAAUGGACUUACAUGUAAAAGCAUUUAGAGUGUCUGGUAUUAUGUGUUAGCUCCUACUAUUAUUGUUAAAUCAUUAUUGUAACUUAUUACUAAGUCAUAAGUUACUAAGUAAAAAGUUACAAUAAUAAUUUUUAAAAUUUUUUCCAGUCCUAUGUGAUCUGAAAAAAUAUAUAUAUACCCAAAUACCGUUUACUUAAACAUGGGAAGGUAGAGGACAAGGAAAGAAGAAAAGCUAAGUAAAAUGUAUUUCCUUGUUCUAAUAGGAGAAGAAGUCACGGAAAAAUGUAAGGUUAAACACGUCAGUUUACAAUUAGGAAUAUCUGCUUUACUUCCUUUAUUGGAGUAACUAAAGGUUUCUUUUAUUAUUUUCCCCCUACAAAUUAAUUUAGCAAAAGUUAAACUCAAAAUAGGCAAAGAAUAUAAACAGUUCACAGAAAAGGACACACAUGUGGCCUUUUAAAAAUAUAAAAACAUGCCGGGCACAGUGGCUCACGUCUGUAAUCCCAGCACUUUGGGAGGCCGAG